This is a long non-coding RNA of Carassius carassius (crucian carp), 584 nucleotides long. RefSeq lists it as uncharacterized. NCBI's taxonomy places the organism in Eukaryota, Metazoa, Chordata, Actinopteri, Cypriniformes, Cyprinidae. The record is from RefSeq and is a predicted model, not a curated record. The transcript has 3 exons.
GUUUCAUUCAUCAACGAAGCAUUAAACUGAUCAAAUGUGUUAGUAAAGUCAUUUAUAAUGUAACAAAAGAGUUCUAUUUCAAAUAAAUGCUGUUCUUUUAAACUUUCAUUUAAAUAAAAUGUAUCAGAGAAACUAAAUAUCACGCAGCACAACUGUGUUCAACACUGAUAAUAAUCAGAAAUGUGUCUUGAGCAGUAAAUCAUCAUAUUAUUCUGAUUUCUGAAGAUCAUGUGACACUGAAGACUGGAGGAAUGAUGCUGAAAAUACAGCGGAGCAUCACAGAAAUACAUUACACUUUAACACAGAUUCACACAGAAAACAGCUGCUUUACAGUAGAAUAAUAUUUCACUGUUUUUACUGUUGUUCUGAUCUAAUAAAUGCAGCCUUGCUGAGCAGAACACAUUUUUAAGAAUCAUAAUGACCCCAGACUCUUGAAUGGUAGUGUAUAAGAUGCGUGUGUGUGUGAGUGUGUGUGUGUUACCUGUGAGCGCAGCCACUUUAUCUGCUACUUUCUCAGCAAAGCCGAUGCGUGUGUUGAGUCCGGUGCCCACCGCAGUCCCCCCCGCUGCCAGCUCAUACACACG